ACACUGAUGGUGAAGUGGUUAUCAUGCUUGCCUUCCACUUAAGAACAGAAGUCUGGCUUAUGUAAGCAAGCGGCGGGGGUUCGAUUCCCUCUCAGUGUA
Non-coding RNA from Tephrocybe rancida, 99 nucleotides. Lineage: Eukaryota; Fungi; Basidiomycota; Agaricomycetes; Agaricales; Lyophyllaceae. The record is from the annotation of a GenBank genome assembly.